RNAcentral lists this ribosomal RNA (450 nucleotides) under uncultured Glomeromycotina. RNAcentral's name for it is "SSU rRNA". It matches the Rfam family "Eukaryotic small subunit ribosomal RNA", at positions 569 to 1026 of the family's 1831-position model. Lineage: Eukaryota; Fungi; Glomeromycota. The record is from RNAcentral.
AGCAGCCGCGGUAAUUCCAGCUCCAAUAGCGUAUAUUAAAGUUGUUGCAGUUAAAAAGCUCGUAGUUGAAUUUCGGGAUCAAUAUGUCGGUCGUGCCUUGGUACGUACUGGUAUCAUUGGUCUCUCCUUUCUGACGAACCAUGAUGUCAUUAAUUUGGUGUUAUGGGAAGUUAGGACUGUUACUUUGAAAAAAUUAGAGUGUUUAAAGCAGGCUUUAGCUUGAAUACAUUAGCAUGGAAUAAUGAAAUAGGACGUUCGAACCUAUUUUGUUGGUUCUAGGAUCAACGUAAUGAUUAAUAGGGAUAGUUGGGGGCAUUAGUAUUCAAUUGUCAGAGGUGAAAUUCUUGGAUUUAUUGAAGACUAACUACUGCGAAAGCAUUUGCCAAGGAUGUUUUCAUUAAUCAAGAACGAAGUUAGGGGAUCGAAGACGAUCAGAUACCGUCGUAGUCU